RNAcentral lists this unclassified non-coding RNA (202 nucleotides) under plant metagenome. RNAcentral describes it as "partial contains small subunit ribosomal RNA and internal transcribed spacer 1". The stretch from base 1 to 46 matches the Rfam family "Eukaryotic small subunit ribosomal RNA", at positions 1786 to 1831 of the family's 1831-position model. The record is from RNAcentral.
AAGUCGUAACAAGGUCUCCGUAGGUGAACCUGCGGAGGGAUCAUUACCGAGUGCGGGCCCUCGUGGCCCAACCUCCCAACCCUUUGUCGAUGAAUAUCUGUUGCCUCGGGGGGGCGACCCGGCCCCCGCGCCGCGAGUCCCCCGGGAGGUCCAACCAACACUGCGUCUUUGCGUCGGAGUAUUGAAACACAAUCAAUCAAAA